UGGGGAAUAUUGCACAAUGGGCGCAAGCCUGAUGCAGCCAUGCCGCGUGUAUGAAGAAGGCCUUCGGGUUGUAAAGUACUUUCAGCGGGGAGGAAGGGAGUAAAGUUAAUACCUUUGCUCAUUGACGUUACCCGCAGAAGAAGCACCGGCUAACUCCGUGCCAGCAGCCGCGGUAAUACGGAGGGUGCAAGCGUUAAUCGGAAUUACUGGGCGUAAAGCGCACGCAGGCGGUUUGUUAAGUCAGAUGUGAAAUCCCCGGGCUCAACCUGGGAACUGCAUCUGAUACUGGCAAGCUUGAGUCUCGUAGAGGGGGGUAGAAUUCCAGGUGUAGCGGUGAAAGGCGUAGAGAUCCGGAGGAAUACCGGUGGCGAAGGCGGCCCCCUGGACGAAGACUGACGCUCAGGUGCGAAAGCGUGGGGAGCAAACAGG
Molecule: ribosomal RNA, 429 nt
Filed under: Chloroflexota bacterium
Lineage: Bacteria; Bacillati; Chloroflexota
Description: Chloroflexi bacterium partial 16S ribosomal RNA
Rfam family: Bacterial small subunit ribosomal RNA
Source: RNAcentral